CCUCCUUUUCUUGGUGGGGAUUGGGCAUAUGGUCCUGGUCCCUGUAAUGUAUAGAGGUAGAGAGAAAGGGCUCUUGUCCCCUUGGCAUCAUGUCUUUGGCACUAGCAGCUUCUAGUCUGCUGGUUCUAUCCUUAAGUACUAGGACAUGA
Camelus dromedarius (Arabian camel) is the source of this 149-nucleotide small nucleolar RNA. NCBI's taxonomy places the organism in Eukaryota, Metazoa, Chordata, Mammalia, Artiodactyla, Camelidae. The record is from Ensembl.